This 301-nucleotide ribosomal RNA is filed under the name uncultured bacterium. RNAcentral describes it as "partial 16S ribosomal RNA". It matches the Rfam family "Bacterial small subunit ribosomal RNA", at positions 509 to 807 of the family's 1533-position model. The record is from RNAcentral.
CAGUCGCCGCGGGAAUACAGAGGGUGCGAGCGUUAAUCGGAUUUACUGGGCGUAAAGCGUGCGUAGGCGGCUAAUUGAGUCGGAUGUGAAAUCCCCGAGCUUAACUUGGGAAUUGCAUUCGAUACUGGUUAGCUAGAGUGUGGGAGAGGAUGGUAGAAUUCCAGGUGUAGCGGUGAAAUGCGUAGAGAUCUGGAGGAAUACCGAUGGCGAAGGCAGCCAUCUGGCCUAACACUGACGCUGAGGUACGAAAGCAUGGGGAGCAAACAGGAUUAGAUACCCCGGUAGUCCCUGUCUCUUAUAC